AGAAUCAACGCUGGCGGCGUGCCUAACACAUGCAAGUCGAACGAGAAAGUGGAGCAAUCCAUGAGUAAAGUGGCGACCGGGUGAGUAACACGUGACUAACCUACCUUCGAGUGGGGGAUAACCUCGGGAAACCGAGGCUAAUACCGCAUAACAUCGCAAGAUCAAAGCAGCAAUGCGCUGGAAGAGGGGGUCGCGGCUGAUUAGCUAGUUGGCGGGUAACGCCACAGCGAAGAUCGGUAGCCGGCCUGAGAGGGCGCACGGCCACACUGGAACUGAAACACGGUCCAGACUCCUACGGGAGGCAGCAGUGGGGAAUUUUGCGCAAUGGGGGAAACCCUGACGCAGCAACGCCGCGUGGAGGAUGAAGCCCCUUGGGGCGUAAACUCCUUUCGACCAAGACGAUAAUGACGGUACUGGUGGAAGAAGCACCGGCUAACUCUGCGCCAGCAGCCGC
Molecule: ribosomal RNA, 454 nt
Filed under: uncultured bacterium
Lineage: Bacteria
Description: SSU rRNA
Rfam family: Bacterial small subunit ribosomal RNA
Source: RNAcentral